CACGUCAGCGCGCUUUACUGACGUGGCAACAAAUCGCGCGCUCAUGGCCGCGCUUUGUUGCCACGUUAUCAAAGCGUGCUGACGUGG
Non-coding RNA from Gossypium hirsutum (cotton), 87 nucleotides. Lineage: Eukaryota; Viridiplantae; Streptophyta; Magnoliopsida; Malvales; Malvaceae. The record is from Rfam.